CAAUAGCGUAUAUUAAAGUUGUUGCAGUUAAAAAGCUCGUAGUUGGAUUUCCGGCGUGAGGGAUCAGUCUGACUUCUAGUCAGUACUUGGUCCUCUCAUGCCGUCCUUGAAUGGUGCAUCCUGGCAUUAAGUUGUCGGGGUGAGAGCCGUUCAUCGUUUACUGUGAGAAAAUUAGAGUGUUCAAAGCAGGCUUAUGCCGUUGAAUAUAUUAGCAUGGAAUAAUAAGAUAGGACUUUGGUACUAUUUUGUUGGUUUGAGAACCAAGGUAAUGAUCAAUAGGGACAGUUGGGGGUAUUCGUAUUCAGUUGUCAGAGGUGAAAUUCUUAGAUUUCCGGAAGACGAACUACUGCGAAAGCAUUUACCAAGGAUGUUUUUCAUUUAGUACUACGAAACGAAAACGGUAAAGUUUAGGGGGGGAAUUCCGGAAAAGGACGUAGUUAAGUACUAACCGGUACUUACCGGUACGUACGUAGGACCCUAA
RNAcentral lists this ribosomal RNA (481 nucleotides) under uncultured eukaryote. Its description in RNAcentral is "bacterial SSU rRNA". It matches the Rfam family "Eukaryotic small subunit ribosomal RNA", at positions 592 to 1068 of the family's 1831-position model. The record is from RNAcentral.